Molecule: ribosomal RNA, 479 nt
Filed under: uncultured bacterium
Lineage: Bacteria
Description: bacterial SSU rRNA
Rfam family: Bacterial small subunit ribosomal RNA
Source: RNAcentral
GAACGCUGGCGGCGUGGAUAAGACAUGCAAGUCGAACGGAGAUCUUGAAUAGCUUGCUAAUUAAGAUCUUAGUGGCGGACGGGUUAGUAACACGUGAGAACCUACCCUUUAGACAGGAAUAGCCCAUGGAAACGUGGAUUAAUGCCUGAUAGUCUCUACGGAGUAAAUGGUGCCUUCGGGUAUCGCUAGAGGAUGGGCUCGCGGCCUAUCAGCUUGUUGGUGAGGUAAAGGCUCACCAAGGCGACGACGGGUAGCUGGUCUGAGAGGACGAUCAGCAACACUGGAACUGAGACACGGUCCAGACACCUACGGGUGGCAGCAGUCGAGAAUCAUUCACAAUGGAGGCAACUCUGAUGGUGCAACGCCGCGUGGAGGAUGACGGUCCUAGGAUUGUAAACUCCUGUCAUUGGGGAGUAAGACUUAAGCGUUAAGAGCGUUUAAGUUUGAUAGUACCCAAAGAGGAAGGGACGGCUAACUUC